GACGAACGCUGGCGGCGUGCUUAACACAUGCAAGUCGAGCGGUAAGGCCCUUCGGGGUACACGAGCGGCGAACGGGUGAGUAACACGUGGGUGAUCUGCCUCGUACUCUGGGAUAAGCCUGGGAAACUGGGUCUAAUACCGGAUAGGACCGCGAAUCGCAUGGUUUGUGGUGGAAAGAUUUAUCGGUGCGAGAUGGGCCCGCGGCCUAUCAGCUUGUUGGUGGGGUAAUGGCCUACCAAGGCGACGACGGGUAGCCGGCCUGAGAGGGCGACCGGCCACACUGGGACUGAGACACGGCCCAGACUCCUACGGGAGGCAGCAGUGGGGAAUAUUGCACAAUGGGCGGAAGCCUGAUGCAGCGACGCCGCGUGCGGGAUGACGGCCUUCGGGUUGUAAACCGCUUUCGACAGGGACGAAGCGAGAGUGACGGUACCUGUAGAAGAAGCACCGGCCAACUACGUG
RNAcentral lists this ribosomal RNA (462 nucleotides) under Nocardia transvalensis. RNAcentral's name for it is "bacterial SSU rRNA". It matches the Rfam family "Bacterial small subunit ribosomal RNA", at positions 28 to 507 of the family's 1533-position model. The record is from RNAcentral. Lineage: Bacteria; Bacillati; Actinomycetota; Actinomycetes; Mycobacteriales; Nocardiaceae.